UGCAUUUUGGCCCUGUCACUCAAAAAUAUGAGUUAAUUUAACUUAUUUUCCUUCAAAAUGCAUAAACUUAAUAUUUCAAGUCUUGUGAACUCAAAAUCAUGAUUAAUCCUUUGGAAAAACUCAACAUCACUCUGUUCUUCCUUUAAUGUGAUUGGCCAUGCAAGGAAUUCUGCCUAGCAACAAGUGAACAAAAGCACUGAUUGGUGGAUUACAAAAUUGGUCCUUUUAGCCUCGUCUGUUCGGUAGGCAGCUGAUACCACAUUGAUUUCAAGACGGACGUUUUUCUUCGUGUACUAUGUUCGGUGACAUGAGAUAAGGAGAUGUGGAAAUGUUUGCAUGGAGUUCACCAGAAUUACAGACAAAAAUCUACAGCAGGAAUUCUAUGAAAACCUGGACAGACAGUUCACGGUUCAUGGACCUUUUUAAAACCAGAAGGGGGACUCCUGUCAGACCAGCCAACUGAGGUCCGAACCCUUGUUCUUCGAGGACUGACUAUCAUGCUGGGAAAUGAAGACUCUUCUUUCUUCAAGUCAUGUUUAGUGUCUGAUCAUUGCAAUACUAUCCUUGAUGUGCCAGUGGGGAUCUUAUUCGAGCACACUGAUCUUCAGCCCCCAAACUCCUUGCAUUUGAAUAAUUUCUGAAGGCCAAGUGGUGAUGGACAAAAUGCAGGACCUCCCACAGGCAAUCUUUCUUCUGUUCGGUUUGAUUUAUGCACUAGACGUGAAUUAC
Molecule: long non-coding RNA, 729 nt
Organism: Cyprinus carpio (common carp)
Lineage: Eukaryota; Metazoa; Chordata; Actinopteri; Cypriniformes; Cyprinidae
Exons: 5
Source: RefSeq, a predicted model, not a curated record